AACGAACGCUGGCGGCAUGCCUAACACAUGCAAGUCGAACGAGACCUUCGGGUCUAGUGGCGCACGGGUGCGUAACGCGUGGGAACCUGCCCUUAGGUUCGGAAUAACUCUCCGAAAGGGGUGCUAAUACCGGAUAAUGUCUUCGGACCAAAGAUUUAUCGCCUUUGGAUGGGCCCGCGUUGGAUUAGCUAGUUGGUAGGGUAAAAGCCUACCAAGGUGACGAUCCAUAGCUGGUCUGAGAGGAUGAUCAGCCACACUGGGACUGAGACACGGCCCAGACUCCUACGGGAGGCAGCAGUGGGGAAUAUUGGACAAUGGGCGAAAGCCUGAUCCAGCAAUGCCGCGUGAGUGAUGAAGGCCUUAGGGUUGUAAAGCUCUUUUACCCGGGAUGAUAAUGACAGUACCGGGAGAAUAAGCUCCGGCUAACUCCGU
RNAcentral lists this ribosomal RNA (432 nucleotides) under uncultured bacterium. RNAcentral describes it as "partial 16S ribosomal RNA". It matches the Rfam family "Bacterial small subunit ribosomal RNA", at positions 29 to 506 of the family's 1533-position model. The record is from RNAcentral.